RNAcentral lists this ribosomal RNA (411 nucleotides) under uncultured bacterium. RNAcentral's name for it is "bacterial SSU rRNA". It matches the Rfam family "Bacterial small subunit ribosomal RNA", at positions 187 to 579 of the family's 1533-position model. The record is from RNAcentral.
GGGGCACGGGGGGAGGAAAGCAGGGGAUCGCAAGACCUCGCGCUAUUGGAUGAGCCAAAGUCGGAUUAGCUAGUUGGUGUGGUAAUGGCCUACCAAGGCGACAAUCCGUAGCUGGUCUGAGAGGACGACCAGCCACACCGGAACUGAGACACGGUCCGGACUCCUACGGGAGGCAGCAGUGGGGAAUAUUGGACAAUGGGGGAAACCCUGAUCCAGCGACGCCGCGUGUGUGAAGAAGGCCUGCGGGUUGUAAAGCACUUUUAGUGGGGACAAAAAGUCAUUGAUUAAUACUCGGUGUUCUUGAUUUAACUCACAGAAAAAGCACCGGCUAACUCUGUGCCAGCAGCCGCGGUAAUACAGAGGGUGCGAGCGUUAAUCGGAAUUACUGGGCGUAAAGCGCGCGUAGACGGU